This 253-nucleotide ribosomal RNA is filed under the name uncultured bacterium. Its description in RNAcentral is "partial 16S ribosomal RNA". It matches the Rfam family "Bacterial small subunit ribosomal RNA", at positions 524 to 776 of the family's 1533-position model. The record is from RNAcentral.
UACGGAGGGGGCUAGCGUUGUUCGGAAUUACUGGGCGUAAAGGGCGCGUAGGCGGCCGAUCAAGUCAGGCGUGAAAUUCCCGGGCUCAACCUGGGGGCUGCGCUUGAUACUGAUUGGCUUGAAUGCGGGAGAGGAUAGUGGAAUUCCCAGUGUAGAGGUGAAAUUCGUAGAUAUUGGGAAGAACACCGGUGGCGAAGGCGGCUAUCUGGCCCGUAAUUGACGCUGAGGCGCGAAAGCGUGGGGAGCAAACAGG